AAGCAUAAGUGGAAACACAGGCAGGCAUGUGAAAACGUAUUUUAUUUCUUCAUGCUAUAUAAAAUUCAGGAUGGCGAAAUCCGACAAAUAACAGUGGUGGUUUCCCUCCAGGGUUGAUCAAUCACAUGGAACUAGUGGAGAGAAUACCGGCUGGACCUCCUUGUAGAAAAUAAAUACACCACAGACAGACUCAUUACUCGAGUAAUAAAAAUUAAACGGCAGGCAGUUCCUCCCCUACAGGAAAAAGGACUCAACAACAAAAGAUAUACCUACCGACAAGACGAAACCUGAUGGGCCGUCUCUCAGCAGCAGCAGCAGCAGCAGCAGCAGCAGCAGCAGCAGCAGCAGCUUAGAUCUUCGAGUUGGCGAUCUUGUACCACUCGGUGUGGAAGGAUCCCGGCAUGUCGACCCUCUCGUAGGUGUG
RNAcentral lists this long non-coding RNA (424 nucleotides) under Triticum aestivum (bread wheat). RNAcentral's name for it is "long non-coding RNA (TAES_LNC028190)". Lineage: Eukaryota; Viridiplantae; Streptophyta; Magnoliopsida; Poales; Poaceae. The record is from RNAcentral.